This 421-nucleotide ribosomal RNA is filed under the name uncultured bacterium. RNAcentral describes it as "bacterial SSU rRNA". It matches the Rfam family "Bacterial small subunit ribosomal RNA", at positions 355 to 776 of the family's 1533-position model. RNAcentral also lists the same sequence under 1 other name. The record is from RNAcentral.
UAAGGAAUAUUGCGCAAUGGGCGAAAGCCUGACGCAGCGACGCCGCGUGGGGGAUGAAGGUCUUCGGAUUGUAAACCCCUUUCGGGAGGGAAGAUGGGAUGGGGUAACCCAUUCGGACGGUACCUCCAGAAGCAGCCACGGCUAACUUCGUGCCAGCAGCCGCGGUAAUACGAAGGUGGCAAGCGUUGUUCGGAUUUACUGGGCGUACAGGGAGCGUAGGCGGUUGGAUAAGCCCUCCGUGAAAUCUCCAGGCUUAACCUGGAAAGUGCAGAGGGGACUGUUCAGCUAGAGGAUGGGAGAGGAGCGCGGAAUUCCCGGUGUAGCGGUGAAAUGCGUAGAGAUCGGGAGGAAGGCCGGUGGCGAAGGCGGCGCUCUGGAACAUUUCUGACGCUGAGGCUCGAAAGCGUGGGGAGCAAACAGG